CCCUUAGAUGUCCCGGGCCGCACGCGCGCUACACUGAGUGUCUGAGAUACGAGUCUGCCUAGCCGGCGAGGUCUAGGUAAUCGCUGAAGGACACAUCAUCCUUGGGAUAGAUUAUUGCAGAUAUUAAUCUUGAACGAGGAAUUCCUAGUAAGCGCAAGUCAACAGCUUGCGUUGAUUACGUCCCUGCCCUUUGUGCACACCGCCCGUCGCUACUACUGAUUGGAUGUUUAAGCGAGGUUCUCGAACUGCUAGCGACUUAGCUUCGGUGAGGUCGCCGUGUGGGAAGUGAACCUAGCUUUGGUGUCUAGAGGAAGUAAAAGUCGUAUCA
Molecule: ribosomal RNA, 328 nt
Filed under: uncultured eukaryote
Lineage: Eukaryota
Description: partial 18S ribosomal RNA
Rfam family: Eukaryotic small subunit ribosomal RNA
Source: RNAcentral